UCCGAUCCGCCUUCCGCAUCCGCCCCUUCCCCAGCCCGGCCUUCCACCGCAGCCAUGGCCGCCUUCCUGGAGCCGGAGAGCCGGGCGGCCGGGGCCGGGGCCGGGCUCUGUCUCGGCAACUUCGUCUUCGGCUGCGAGUUGACGGACAGCACCAGAUCCUACACCUUUAAGGUGGAUGAAGAUGACGACUCUGAGCACAUCCUGGCCCUGUCUAUGGUCUGCCUUACAGGUGGUGCAAAGGACGAAUGCAACGUGGUGGAAGUUGUGGGGCGUAACCGUCAGAACCAGGAGAUUGCUGUGCCGGUGGCCAAUCUGAAACUGUCGUGCCAGCCCGUGCUGAGCCUGGACAACUUCCAGCUCCAACCACCUGUGACCUUCCACCUGAAAUCCGGCUCCGGCCCCGUGCACCUCACCGGGCGGCACCAGAUCAGUAAGGAGCUGGGGGGGUGCUGGGCGCGGAAGAGGACGCGGCCCAGGAGGAAAUGCCGACCGGGGGCUCUGUCCAGGUGGCUGGUUCCUUCUGGAGAGGCCCGGGGGGGCGGAGAGAGGGAGGAAUCUGCUGCCUGCAGAGAGGUCAUUGCCCGAGUAGGGCUGCGUCUGCAGAGGAGGGUCUGAUGCCCGAGUGCUGUUAUCUGCCCCAACCAGCUCCCGCUCCGCCUGGCUGGGCGCGUGGGUCAGUUGAGCGGCUGGCCCCAUAACCAUGCCCCAGAGCUGCCCCCUGGGCUGCCCACUGAGCACUCAGGGGCUUGGGCUGGUUGCGUGGUGUCAUCAGCAGCUGGCCCUGGCCCCUCGCUUUCCCCCCUGUGGGCACGUCUCCGCCGUGGGCAGCGAGGAGGUCGGGGGUAGCAGAGCCGGGAGAAUGGGGAGGGGAGAGGGUGCCCCUGUGUGGGAAAGACCCAGCGCACAGAGAGCAUGACAAGGAAGGGGCCUGUCCGUGUGUCCCAGUGCACAGGAGGGCACUGUCUGAGGAAGAGGAGAGUGAGGAGGAGGAGGAGGAGGAAGAGCUCGCCCCCGUCAUGCCAGCCAAGAAGCAGCAAAGGAGGCAGUAGCUGAGAGGCGCUGCCCUGCCCCCGACUGGAGCCCUGCCCCCGGACGGCUGUUCUCCUGGGACCUCUCUGGUUUACGUGUCAAUUCGCUGUUUGUUGCUGUCGGGUUUUGGGGGGCUCCCUCCCAUUAAGGGGAUGCACUGGGGUGAGCCCUGCCCCCGCGCAGGGCCAUGGAGGGCUGAUACUGGGGAGAUGCAUGGGGCCCUGAGUGUGCUGGGGGUGCUCUGCUCUGGGCCCUGAGAUCCCCAGCGCCUGGAGGUGAGCCAGCAAAGCCAUUGGUGUCAGAUGCUCUGCCAACCCUGCGCCCCAGCUGCGUUGCUCAGUAGAGGGAGUUUCUGGGGCUCGUUCCCUAUUUCCGUACUCUGUGCGAACCAGCCCUUCGGUUGGUCCGUCUGGGCCCCUGCUCUGCUGCACCCUUGGAGAUGCCAGGCUGCUGUCUGCCAAGGGACAGGGAGAGACCAGCUAGAGCGCUGGGUUUCACAUGCUGAUUCUGGUCAGUUUCGCCGUUCUGGGGCGCUGGCCCUGCGGUGCUGAGUGGGGCCUGGUGCUGAGUGGGGCCUGGUGCUGAGUGGGGCGGUGGCAUCUCUCCCCCCAGCUUCUAUUCAUUGAGGGGGGAGGGUUAAGCCCUUUUUUAAAUAUUCGCUGCCUUUACACAUGGAAGUUUUAGAGAGAACCUCGUCACCAUCCCCCAAAACCCAGGGCUCCUUUCCCCAGUGCAAUAUCCCGGGUGAGCCGGGUGUGUACAUGGCACCUUUGACCUCGGCAUCCGAGAUCCGUCUCUGCUGCACCGUGCGUUACAGGGCCGGCUCUGGUGCUGGGGCCUCGUCCGGGUGUCACCGGGUCGUGCUGGGUCUGGGCUGCCUUUGAGUCCCCUCUUGCCCCCGCCGGGCAGUGGUUCGUUCCCCAGCCAAACCCCAUCUCUGUAAAGGGAUAUUUACACCUUGCAAUAAACGUUUCCGAUUGGGUGUCAA
Molecule: RNA transcript, 2017 nt
Organism: Chelonia mydas (Green sea turtle)
Lineage: Eukaryota; Metazoa; Chordata; Testudines; Cheloniidae
Gene: NPM3
Gene name: nucleophosmin/nucleoplasmin 3
Exons: 5
Source: RefSeq, a predicted model, not a curated record